GACGAACGCUGGCGGCGUGCUUAACACAUGCAAGUCGAACGGAAAGGCCCUGCUUUUGUGGGGUGCUCGAGUGGCGAACGGGUGAGUAACACGUGAGUAACCUGCCCUUGACUUUGGGAUAACUUCAGGAAACUGGGGCUAAUACCGGAUAGGAGCUCCUGCUGCAUGGUGGGGGUUGGAAAGUUUCGGCGGUUGGGGAUGGACUCGCGGCUUAUCAGCUUGUUGGUGGGGUAGUGGCUUACCAAGGCUUUGACGGGUAGCCGGCCUGAGAGGGUGACCGGCCACAUUGGGACUGAGAUACGGCACAGACUGCUACGGGAGGCAGCAGUGGGGAAUAUUGCACAAUGGGCGGAAGCCUGAUGCAGCAACGCAGCGUGCGGGAUGACGGCCUUCGGGUUGUAAACCGCUUUCGCCUGUGACGAAGCGUGAGUGACGGUAAUGGGUAAAGAAGCACCGGCUAACUACGUG
This 468-nucleotide ribosomal RNA is filed under the name uncultured bacterium. RNAcentral's name for it is "partial 16S ribosomal RNA". It matches the Rfam family "Bacterial small subunit ribosomal RNA", at positions 28 to 507 of the family's 1533-position model. The record is from RNAcentral.